AAUACCCAAUCCUGACACAGGGAGGUAGUGACAAGAAAUAACAAUGCAGGGCUAAUGUCUUGUAAUUGGAAUGAUGGUGACCCAAACCCUCACCAGAGUAGCAAUUGGAGGGCAAGUCUGGUGCCAGCAGCCGCGGUAAUUCCAGCUCCAAUAGCGUAUAUUAAACUUGUUGCAGUUAAAAAGCUCGUAGUUGAAUUUUAGCGUGUUCGAGUUUGCCAUUCGUUUGGCUUUUUCGAGUUCGCUUUUGGGUUUUCCCUUUUUACUUUGAGAAAAUUAGAGUGUUUCAAGCAGACUUUUGUCUUGAAUACUUCAGCAUGGAAUAAUAGAGUAGGACUUUGGUUCUAUUUUGUUGGUUAUUGAACCUUAGUAAUGGUUAAUAGGAACGGUUGGGGGCAUUCGUAUUUAA
Molecule: ribosomal RNA, 406 nt
Filed under: Babesia canis
Lineage: Eukaryota; Apicomplexa; Aconoidasida; Piroplasmida; Babesiidae
Description: SSU rRNA
Rfam family: Eukaryotic small subunit ribosomal RNA
Source: RNAcentral